GCUAACAUAGCAUAGUGGUUUCAGUGUUUUACACUAUGACUCUGGAGACCAGGGUUCAAUGCCCAGCUCAGCC
Non-coding RNA from Phrynosoma platyrhinos (Desert horned lizard), 73 nucleotides. Lineage: Eukaryota; Metazoa; Chordata; Lepidosauria; Squamata; Phrynosomatidae. The record is from the annotation of a GenBank genome assembly.